UUUAAUUGAUGUGCCAUGUGCAUCCAGAUGUUCUAAACAUUGCAUUUCCCCCAAUUGCUCAGGCAGUCGCUCCAGCUUUCGACACUCUCCCAGGUAUAGUUGUUUAAGCAAUUUGAGCUUCCAUAUGCUAUCUGGAAGAUUUCUAAGGUUUUUGCACCAAUUCAAAUUAAGUGUCUCCAAAUUAAUGAGGCCUACAAAUGAAUCUGGUAAUUGUUCAAUUGCAGUAUUACCUGCACCAAAUCUCCUCAGGUUUUCCAGAUUCCCAAUAUGCUCAGGAAUAUUUCUAAGCUUCUUGCAACCAUACAAGUCCAACCCAAACAAUUCCUUCAGCUGAGUAAUUGAAUCUGGCAAUCGUGUAAUUGCAGAAAAACCUGCUUCAAGUUCCUUUAAGCCUUUCAUAUCACCCAAUUGCUCAGGCAACUUUGUAAGCUUCUUGCAAAAUCUCAAAUUCAGCUGAAUCAAUUUCUUGAGAUAAGUUACUGAAUCUGGCAGUUUCUCAAUUGCAGUACAACUCACAUCAAUCAUCUUUAGUCCUUUCAUUUCACCCAACUGCUCUGGUAGUCGUUUCAAGUCACCGCAUUUGCUCAGAUACAAACAACCCAGACUAUUAAAUUGUUUGAAAGGCUGUUUCACAUAAUAAAAGUUAGCAAAGAUUGAAAAUAUUCUAAAUUCGAACAAAGUGCAAGAAAAAUUUAUUUUUAGAAAUAGUUCCCGUAGUUUCUUUUUUUUUUUUUUAACAAAAACUUUAUCUACAAUCUUUUACAAAAAGAGAAAUAAGUAUGAUAAAAAAUGUAUUGAAGCAUCUAUGUAAAAAUAUACUAUAAAUAUCAAGUAUUGAAAUAAAAAAUUAUAUUAUCUCAUACCAUGGGACUCUUCCACAACACCUUGAAUUUACUCGACGGCAUAUCAAUCGAGAUUAGAUUUUUUGGACGAAAUGUCGAAGGUAUAUGCAUCCACGGACAGGAAUGCCAUCUAAUACACCUCAAAUUAGGAAGUAAAUUUGUAAAAUUUCCUUUAAUAUCAUGUGCACCGAGUAUUUGAAGUAAUCGUAAAUUUGACAUUCUUUCGAACAAUAAGGUAGUCAUUUCUUCAUCUGUAAAAGUUGUCAAAUCUAAGACGAGUCCUUCAAUACUAUAGCCCUCCUGCUUUUAUUUAGAAAAAAAGGAGAAUAUUAUGACAUAACCAAUAUAAAAGUCCAAAGACUCUAAAGUAAAUCUUAUCGAAUAUAGACAAAACAAAACCGCCCAUUCUACUUAUUUUAUGGAUGUCCAGACGUCAUAGUAUAUAUCUACUAUAUAAUAUAAUUAAAUAAUCCGAACUAAACAUAUUAUUAAAAAUAAAUAAUUAAAUGUAUUGUUAAUAAACUUUCUAUAGACGGUUUAGGUGGAUGGGCUGACCUUGGACAAAAAGGGAAUUACUAGGUGAUCAGGAACUAGAACUAAAAGAAUGAGCCCUAGUAAAAAUUCUUGUUAAAUUACUUUCUACUUGUAAAGAGGUGUUCUUAAUAUACUGGCUUGGAUCAGUUUUGCAGAGUGAAUAUAAUUAAGACCAGCUAUUAUGAAAAUGGUAAUUACCUCUAGAUUUUGGGAAUCCUUGCAAUCAUUUCCUCUCAAGAACAAGCGUUUACGUUCAUUUCCUCGCAAGAACAAGCGUGUGCGUGUGGUCUUCCCAAGUUUCCUUCCCAUGUCUUGUAUAAGAUUAUGCAUCUCAAACUUAUUAUCUUUAUCAACUGUCAAUAAACAUCUGUCAACCAGAUUUGGUAUUCCAACACCUGGAAAGAAUCCACAAGAUUUGAAUACAUCAAAAGCCUCAUCUUUGUCCUUUCCGAUGAAGAAGAAUGCAAUAUCAAGAAAUAUUGCCUUCUCCGUCUCAUCCUUUAAUUCGUCGUAGCUCAGUUGAAGGAUUUUCUGUAUAUUAUCCUCCGGCAUUGCUUUAACUUUUUCAAGCUUGUCUUUCCAGAAUGACUCAUGUGUUCUACCAAAUAAAGAUGAACCUAGCACCUUAAGAGCUAAUGGAAGACCGCCAGCAUGAGUUGCAAAACAUAGAGAGAGCUCCUUGAAACUUUCAGGCGGCACUGUAUUUCUAAACGCAUGAUAACUGAAGAGCUUCAAUGACUCGAUUUGUCCUAGUGUUUUCACCAUAUAUGUAUCAACUUCUGAUAUAUCAGCCUUUAAUCUAUCUAGUAGAUUUGCAUCUCUCGUCGUAAUAACUAUUUUACUUCCAGCUGAAAACAAGUUGCCAAUGUUUGCAAGCAAUUCUGAAUAGUUUAAACAGUCCAAAUCAUCCAGAACGAUGAGAGCUUUCUUGGAAUGAAGAAUGCGUUUCAGUUUUCUUAUUCCACUUUCAACAUCAGGAACCUUAUAAUCAUUGUUUCUGAGAAGAUCAAUCAAUAAUUGCUGAAGUAAUUGAAGUAAAGUACUGCCUCCUGGUGAAUACUGUUUAACACUUGCACUAAAGCAGCUAAUAUCAAAUUGGUUAAAAUAUAAGUUGUAGAAAGCUUUAGCAAUUGUAGUCUUCCCAAUUCCGCCCAUCCCACAUACACCAAUGGCACGUACAUCAUUAGACUCCAAUCUUAGCUUUUGAUAUAUCUCUUCUACGGCAGAUUCUAUCCCGAAUAGAUAUUUCUCUAGGUGUAAUGCUUUGGUAGAUGCUUGUGGCGCCACAUCCCCUACAAUUUUUUGAAUGGUCUCUGAUUCUCUCCUGUUUUUGAUCAAAAUUUAUAAAAAAAAUUAAUUUCUCAGUUUAUGUAUAUCUUUUAUGUGACCAUAUUACUCUCCUAAGAAUACAAUACAACUAGAAUCUCUGUUAUAAAUUAUAAGCAAAAAAAGCAAGGAGGAAACACAUUAUCAUUAAAUUAGGGAGAGCUUUAGAUUCUUGUGCACUAUUUUAUCGCAGAAAAUUAAUUGUUUUUUGUAUAAUCAGUUUCUAACUGUGUAAGAAAUAAAAUAAAGGUGGACAAAAAAAAUAGGAUAAAGGGACAUACUCAUUGGCUUCUUUUCUGAGAUGGUGUCCUGAAAGCUUAGCAAUUUCAGAUAGAGCUGAUUUCCACUUCUUAAUCUUAUCAACAGAAUAACGCUUCUUAUGACAAUCAAAAGCUUUCCCAAAACUCCCUUUCUGGUGCCCAACAUCUGAUGGAUCAACAUAGUAAAAUACAGGAACAACCUGUUUUUCUGUUCUCUUGCAACUGAGGAUCUCUGCAAGUUCGUCAAGGCACCAUCGCGAACCAGCAUAGUUCUCUGAGAGAACAACGAUAAACAUAUCUGAAUUUCUAAUAGCGUCAAGAAGAGUGGAUGAAAUUUCCUGGCCCUUCUCAAGUGCAUGAUCAUCUAUGAAGGUUUGAAUCCCAGCUUGACACAAAGCAUGGUAAAGAUGUGAAGUAAAGUUACUACGAGUGUCCUUACCGUGAAAGCUCAAGAAGACAUCCCAAGUAGGUGGAGAUGAAGAAGAGGAGGAACAAGAAGAGUCAGUUAACUGGAUAUCACUAGUGGUAUCUGCAGAAGGACAAUGCUUCUUAACAGAAACGAUAAGGAUAAUGAUGGCGAGAAUGACAAGUACAGUGAGUACGGGGAGAGCCCAAAUAAAGACUACUUCCUUUGAGAUAUCCAUUGGAAGAGGAUAGUGUUUCUUAGCAGAAUUUGCUUAGAUGAUGCGAGUAUGAACUACAGUGUGCUAGUUGAUGUAAUAUUGAAGUCAACUUCUACCACAAAAUAGAGGUGUAGUACAUUAAGUGAUUAAGGUGCAUGUAUUUGUGUUUUUAGGAAAUAUUAAUAUAAUCUGCAAAUUGGAAGAUAAAACAAACUCAAAUGACAAGAUAUCAUGGAGGGGUGAUGUUAUAUUCUGAAUACAAAUAAGACAAGUUGUAAUAAAAAGAACACAUAUGGCAAAGCAGGGUACAGUUUUGAAUACAUGACAAAAAAUUAAAGGGUAAAGAAUACUUGAUGAGAGAAAAUUCUGCAAGUGUCUUGACCAUAAAAUACUCAAGAAGACAUGUAGUUGCAUUUUUCAUAAGCUGCCUUGUAGAAAGUGAAAGCAAACACAAAUGACAAAACAUUUACAAAGUUGUAUGGAGGUGGACUGUUUUCACUUUUCAUAUCUUUUGGUUAUAGAUGACAAACUGACAGAAAUUUAUUUAAACAUUUACAAAGUUCCAGGUAGAUGAAGAAAUUACUGUAAAUUAAAACAAGAUUCACCCCAAACUUGCUCGAUUCAACACAAAUGACAAAAACGCAUCUAAGAUAACAAAGCAAUAAACAUAAAUUGGGUGCGCUCAAGAGAACCAAUUCUUAAAAUAGAACCAUGAAACCAUAAAGAUUCUGCUGCAGAACUCUAAAUUUUAAAUAGAUUUUCAAAAUUUAAAAGUGACACUUUUUGCAUGUGCAUAAUACUAAGGGUUCUAGGAGGAACAUGAGCCGUAAAUUAAUGUUGUAAACAAAACUAAAGCAACCCAAGCCAUUAGAUAACAAACAUUGAGAAAAGUAAAAUUAAAAACAUGUGAGGAAUAUACCAAUUAGGGCUCAUAAACUGAUUCUUAUUAGGGCAACAUGAACUUCACGACCGCCCUUGUGCACAUCUUCACUUUCAAUGAGACUUCAGUACUGUCACCAGUUUUAGAAUUCAACUCUGGACUGUACUUUUUUCUCUUUCGUUUUUUUUUGGAAACCCUCUUUCAUUUUUUUUGAAAAUCACCCUGUACUGUACUUCUUCGCCUGUACUCGUUAAUCGUUAUGUACCAAACUCAUGCAAGGUGUAAGAUAUAUAACAAAAUAAUAUUUAUAAUUCAACUUCAGUUUAAUUUAAUAAUAUUUAGAUUUUAAUAAUCAAAAUGAAAUGAUCAAUUUAAAAGAAUAUUAUUUAAAUGAAAAAUAUUCCUCAUAAUCUGGGAUAUGAGAAUUAAAAUAAAAAUUUUGUGAGUUUGAGAAAUAGAUAUUUGAAUAUAAAUAUGAAAAUUAAGAGUUUGGAUCAUUUGGAUUCAUUUUCUGUAUGAAUCUAAAUUUUUAAAGAGGUGAGAGAGGUAAGAAUGUGAAUAAUAAGAUUUGAGUAUUAUGCAAAUCAAAAUGGCCCGAGGCAAUUCUUUCAAAUGGUUAGACUCAGCCAAAUCCAUGACCCUAAAAUACAUGGGUGGACUUUGAUCAUGCUUUUACAAGCACAUAAUUUAGUUUCUCUUUCUCAAGGUCACUAGUGGCUGUUUUGAAAAAUAUAUAGGGCAUAAUAUACAGAGCAAUUCUUUACAGUGACAUUAAUAAACAAAAGUUGAGGGUCUGUUGUAUAAAGAAAUCUCAUUAUGGUCAAUAUGAGUGGAAUCAAUCAAACAUGGAAAAAAAUUGACAAAAUUUACAAGAUACCCAGCAUUUUCUAAUAAUAAUAAUGAACUUAAAUUUUGGGUCCAUCUUGUGCCAAGUGGACUCCAAACAUGUUGAUCUUCACUUCUCCGAUACGCUUUUUGAAUUCAUGAUCAAGAUACGUUUUGCUUCGAAUUGAAACCUUAAUUUUGUCUCCACUUCUGAUUGAGAUUUUGUCUGGCGUAAUGCAUUCUAUUCUUGACUGUGUUUCACCAACUACAAGAUGUUCCAGGAAGAUCGGAUAGUUCUCUGUUGUACCUUCCGUGAUAUUCGUAAUAAUAGCUCUCAUGUAGGGAUAAUCCAGAUGAGUGGGUUUGCACGUAAACACAAGCCAGAGUGCAAGACCUAACAAGUUUGAUCCGGAGCAUGGUGGGAUAUCAAAAGAGACUGCAUGCCCACUGCUUUUAAAGUCGAACCAUUCCGCAACCUCCCUGUUUGGAAGAUAAGCAUAAAAUGGGAGGCACGACGGUCUUCCCUGUAACAUAAAAUAAAACUGUGAAUAGAUUUAUAGAAGUGUGAUUGUGUGUAACUGUGAGACCAACAGCAACAAACCUGAAGGAUACUCUGUUUCAAACUUAUUGAUUUCAGAUUAUUACACCGAACAAAUCUCAAAUUUACCAAUUUCUUCAACAAUGACAGAUCUGGUAGAUCUUGCAGACUUGUGCAUUCUUCAACUGAAAGUGUUCGAAGAAGAGGAGGAAGUAACGAGAUUGAUUGAAGGCUGCUGCAUCUCUCUAUAAACAAUCUUUUCAACAGUUUUAAGCUCGAUAAAUCAGGAAGUUGUUCUAGUGAGCUGUGAUCACACAAGUAUAACCCCUUUAGAUUCAAAGGAAGUUCAGGAAGGGAGGACCCGAGACUUGUACAUUUAUUCAUUGUAAGUUCUUGUAGGUUUAAAAGUCCAGAAAGGCUUACUGGUUCUGCCGAGGAGAGAAUCUGCCCCUCAUCAGUAAGAGUUAACUCUUGCAAAGAAGGGAAACGCAGAAUCAUAGGCAGGCAUAAUCUCACAUUACAACUCAAGUCCAGAGAUGUUAACUUGUUCAAUUUUUCUACUGAUUUAGGUAUACUGACAAUACCCAUAUUCCCUGCCUCAAGGUCUAAUCUUUCAACUGAGGUAAGAUUCCAGAUACUUUCAGGCACAUAUUCAAGCUUCUUGCAAUUACCCAAAUUCAACACUUGUAACCUACUCAGCAGUCGAAUAGAAUCUGGUACUUCUUUAAUUGCUGUUCCAUCUGCACUCAGACUCUCUAAGCAUUGCAUUUUCCCCAAUUGCUCAGGCAGUCGCUCCAGCUUUGGACACUUUCCCAGGUAUAGUUGUUUAAGCAAUUUGAGCUUCCAUAUGUUAUUUGGAAGAUUUUUGAGGCUUUUGCACCAAUCCAAUUCCAGUCUCUCCAAAUUAACGAGGCCUCCAAAUGAAUCUGGUAAUUG
Molecule: long non-coding RNA, 6764 nt
Filed under: Daucus carota (carrot)
Lineage: Eukaryota; Viridiplantae; Streptophyta; Magnoliopsida; Apiales; Apiaceae
Description: long non-coding RNA (DCAR_LNC001658)
Source: RNAcentral